CAUUGGUCCGCCGCUUCCGUGACACGAGCAGACGACCGGCGGUUGAGCUGGGCGUGUGAGUCAGACCGGGAGGAACCAUCCGGAUCCGUCCCGUCCCGUUCCUUCCUUCCUUCCGACCCACGGCGAGCGAGGAGACCCACCUCGCCGUCUCACUCCCGUCCCACCGCCGCCUCCUUCCCUCGCCGGCGCCCCCGAAUUCGAACCGGCGCGCAUGGCGAGGCCGGACGAGAGCUGGGCGCGGAGCACCUCCCCGGGGGACGACGCGUCCACGAGCCACGCGCCCCACCCGGAGGGCGCCUCGCCGGACUCGCUGCGGAACACGCCGUCCAACAUCGCCAGGCUCGAGGACGCGAUCGAGCACUGCGCCGCCCGCCGCAAGUACCUCGCUCGCACCAAGAGCCCCUCCGACGGCGAGGACGUCCGCUGGUACUUCUGCAAGCUCCCCCUCGGGGACAGAGUGCUCUCUGCUUCAGUUCCACGGAUGGAGAUAGUUGGGAAAGGAGACUAUUUCAGGUUCAGCAUGAGGGACUGCUUGGCAUUGGAGGCGUCUUUCUUAGAGAGAGAGGAAUCGCUGCUGGGGUACUGGUGGAGGGAGUAUGCAGAAUGCAGUGAAGGGCCAACAGGUUCCUUGGUUAAAGCUGAUAUGUCAGACUCUGAAUAUUUGUAUAAGGUGGAGGAGGAGAGGGUUGGCGUUCCUGUGAAAGGUGGACUCUAUGAGGUUGAUUUGAUGAGGCGCCAUUGCUUCCCUGUAUAUUGGAAUGGUGAGAAUAGACGCGUUUUGAGAGGCCACUGGUUUGCUCGAAAAGGAGGUCUUGAUUGGAUUCCCUUGCGUGAAGAUGUUUCUGAACAACUUGAGUUAGCAUAUAAGUGCCAGGUCUGGCAUCGUCGUAAAUUUCAACCUUCAGGCUUGUUUGCUGCGCGGGUCGAUCUCCAAGGAAGUACACCGGGAUUGCAUGCCCUUUUUACAGGAGAGGAUGAUACUUGGGAAGCUUGGCUUGUCUUUGAUACAGGUCCUAAACUAGGCAGCAACACAAUCAAAUUAAGGCGUGGUUUCUCUUCUUCUGGAUCUGCAAAUCCUACCCAGGAUGAGUUACGUCAACAGAAAGAAGAGGAAACAGAUGAUUACUGUUCUCAGGUUCCAGUUGGUCAUUUGGUAUUCAUGGUUCAUGGUAUCGGACAGAGAUUGGAGAAAGCUAAUCUUGUUGAUGAUGUAGUCGAUUUCCGCCGUGUGACCGCUAACCUAGCCGAUAGAUACUUAACUCCUUAUCAAAGAAGUACACAGAGGGUCCUAUUCAUUCCCUGUCAGUGGAGGAAGAGUUUGAAGCUCGGUGGUGAAAACACAGUCGAGAAGAUCACUUUGGAUGGAGUUAAAGGUCUUCGCGUAGCAUUAGGCGCCACCGUUCAUGAUGUUCUAUAUUACAUGAGUCCUAUCUACUGCCAGCAUAUAAUUGACUCGGUUUCGGGUCAGCUGAACCAGCUGUAUAUGAAAUUUCUGAAGAGAAAUCCUGGUUACAGUGGAAAGGUAUCAUUAUAUGGCCAUUCGUUGGGAAGUGUUCUAACGUAUGAUAUACUUUGCCACCAAGAAUCCCUUUCCGCCCCAUUUCCAACAGAUUAUUUUAAUAUGGAAAUUUUGUCCGAUGAAGGCCAAGUAGGAAAAGGACCUAACACAAUUGAUGUUCAUGACUCUGGUGUAAAAGAGCAUGAUACUUCUUCCACUUCAGGGCAUUCAUGUGUAGAUAAUGUAGAUCAUGUGGAUGAAGAGAGCACCAGAAGUGAUCAUUCACUUACAUACAAGACUGUUCUGCCAUGUGUGCUUGAAAAUGUGCCAAACAAUGAUGAUGCACUUGAAUCACCUAUUCCAGUUGAUGGGGUGCAGUCUGAAGUCGAAAAUCAGGUUGAAAAUCAUCAUAUGGCACAUACUGAAGGAGCUGCUCCAGCUGUAAGCACAAAAGAUGCUGACGAGUGCAUUACAAGAUCCACCAAGGAACUCCAUGAGGCCCCUGACAAAGACAGAUUAAUCUCAUCACUAGAAGAAGAGGUGAGCCAUCUUAAAGCUAAACUAGCGGAACUUGAGCGGCAGAGUGAUUUAGUGACUCAAAGCAUCAGUAGUGUUCAGUCUCAUCAAGAUAAAGAUACUAAUGAUACAGUGAGCCUAGCAUCAGGCAAACUUAACAUAGGGCAAGGUAGCACAAGUCAGUCCUACAGACCACGUAUUAGAUACACUAAACUAAAUUUUAAGGUUGACACAUUCUUUGCUGUUGGAUCUCCUUUGGGAGUCUUCUUGUCGCUGAGGAACGUUCGUAUUGGUGUUGGCAGGGGACAAGAUUAUUGGCAAGACAAGAACGUUGUUGAAGAAAUGCCAUGCUGCAGGCAGAUGUUCAAUGUUUUCCAUCCUUUCGAUCCUGUAGCAUACAGAGUUGAACCACUUGUAUGUGAAGAUUAUGUGAACAAGCGCCCCGUUGUUAUACCCUACCAUAGAGGCGGAAAGAGGAUACAUGUUGGAGUGCAGGAGUUCACAGAAGGUGUUGCUGCACGUUCUCAGGCUAUUGCCCGUCAAUUCAAGUCAUUGAAGGUCAAAGCGGUAGCUGCCUUGUUAUCACUGAGCAAAAAUGACACGGAAGAGGACGAUGAGAGCACGAAGGAGGAGGAGAGAUCAUAUGGUUCCAUGAUGAUGGAAAGGCUGACUGGUUCACCGGAUGGUCGAGUUGAUCAUGUGCUUCAGGAGAAAACAUUUCAACAUCCAUAUUUGUCCGCUCUGGGAUCUCAUACCAACUACUGGCGAGAUCAUGAUACCGCUCUCUUCAUUAUCAAACAUUUGUACCGUGAUAUACCUGAAGAGCCUCCAACUGAUGGAACUGGAAGUGCACCCAUUAGACUGUUCUAUGUGAGGGAUCCAAUUGCUGAAGACACGCCCCUGACAUUUUCAGACAACUCCUCAGUCAAGGAAUUCUCCAGAAAGGUCAAAACUUAUUCGAGAAAAGGGGAUGAUGAUGCAAACUGCGAAGCUUCUUGAUGGUACAGAGGGAGUAGGUUGGACUGUUGGGUGAGAAGUUUCAGUAAGUCAGUACGUACAUAACGGGCGCAUAUGUUGUCGAACCCCGAGAGAACCCAUGCGUAACCACUGUAUGUUGCAACGUGACAUCGUCUUUGCGAUUUUCACCUAGCAAAAGUGUUCCGCGAAAAGAAAAAACCCUGAGCAGAAGCGUGAUGUACAUAAAAAGCACCUGCAUAAAGGGACGCAUUGCACCGUUACGGACAAAGUGGGGAUACAUUGCUGGUAUGCAUCCUUGUCACUUUGUUGGCACCACAGAUCAGAGUCAGAACACAUUUGCGGGUGAAUGGAUGUUGCACAUAGAAUUAUGGGCCGGCACAUGAUGUGUAUAACUUGUUUGCCUGUAUCUCAGGCAGUAAUUUUGUACAUGUACAGAUAAAAGGGUGUGUGUGUGUGUGUGUAAAAAAGAGCUGAUUAGUUUUAAGCAGUUGAAGAGCAGGUGGAAAAACAGAUGUGACUCAGUUACGUGCCUGCAGUGCAGCACGUCCAAUGGCGAUUCCACCGGCACAAGAGCAAGAUGUGCAUUCUCACCUCAUGUGUAGAGAGUAGCAGAGCUUUUGCCCAAUGUCAAAUUCUCCAUUCCGGUUGUAAAACAAACAUCAAAGGACAAAAAGAGGAGUCAUCAACGCCAUGUGGCAGUCUAAGGAAAUACCCAACCCAAUGUACGCUUGAUUUUUGUCCCCUGGCACCAGUUAAAUGAUAGCCCCUCUCUCUCUCUCUCUCUCUCGCGUGUCAUGGAAAACUCGGUCAAGAAACAGCUGGACUUGAUGAUAUCAUAAUAAACGCUGGUUGAUAUGGAACUAAA
Molecule: RNA transcript, 3857 nt
Organism: Hordeum vulgare subsp. vulgare (domesticated barley)
Lineage: Eukaryota; Viridiplantae; Streptophyta; Magnoliopsida; Poales; Poaceae
Gene name: phospholipase SGR2
Exons: 23
Source: RefSeq, a predicted model, not a curated record